AGUCGAACGCACGCGCUUCGGCGCGUGAGUGGCGCACGGCUGAGUAACACGUGGGAACCCGCCCUCCGGUGGGGGAUAACGAGGCGAAAGUCUCGCUAAUCCCGCAUACGUCCGCACGGGGAAAGCGCAAUCGCGCGCCGGAGGAGGGGCCUGCGGCCCAUCAGGUCGUUGGCAGGGUAAUGGCCUACCAAGCCGGUGACGGGUAGCUGGUCUGGGAGGAUGACCAGCCAGACUGGGACUGAGACACGGCCCAGACUCCUACGGGAGGCAGCAGCAAGGAAUUUUCGGCAAUGGGCGCAAGCCUGACCGAGCAACGCCGCGUGCGGGAUGACGGCCUUCGGGUUGUAAACCGCUUUUCGGGGGGACGAUGAUGACGGUACCCCCGGAAGAAGCCCCGGCUAACUCUGUGCCAGCAGCCGCGGUAAGACAGAGGGGGCGAGCGUUGUCCGGAGUCACUGGGCGUAAAGCGCGCGCAGGCGGUCGCCUAAGUGUCGUGUGAAAGCCCCCGGCUCAACCGGGGGAGGCCAUGGCAGACUGGGCGACUGGAGCCGCAGAGAGGCCCCUCGAAUUGCCGGUGUAGCGGUGAAAUGCGUAGAGAUCGGCAGGAAGACCAAGGGGGAAGCCAGGGGGCUGGCUGCGAGCUGACGCUGAGGCGCGACAGCGUGGGGAGCCAAC
Molecule: ribosomal RNA, 675 nt
Filed under: uncultured bacterium
Lineage: Bacteria
Description: bacterial SSU rRNA
Rfam family: Bacterial small subunit ribosomal RNA
Source: RNAcentral